This 119-nucleotide ribosomal RNA is filed under the name Triticum aestivum (bread wheat). Lineage: Eukaryota; Viridiplantae; Streptophyta; Magnoliopsida; Poales; Poaceae. The record is from RNAcentral.
GGAAGCGAUCAUACCAGCACUAAAGCACCGGAUCCCAUCAGAACUCCGAAGUUAAGCGUGCUUGGGCGAGAGUAGUACAAGGAUGGGUGACCUCCUGGGAAGUCCUCGUGUUGCAUUCC